Molecule: ribosomal RNA, 253 nt
Filed under: uncultured bacterium
Lineage: Bacteria
Description: partial 16S ribosomal RNA
Rfam family: Bacterial small subunit ribosomal RNA
Source: RNAcentral
UACGAGGGGGGCAAGCGUUGUUCGGAAUUAUUGGGCGUAAAGGGCGCGUAGGCGGUGCGGUAAGUCUGAUGUGAAAUCUCCGGGCUCAACUCGGAGUCUGCAUCAGAAACUGCCGUGCUCGAGUGUGGGAGAGGUGAGUGGAGUUCCCGGUGUAGCGGUGAAAUGCGUAGAUAUCGGGAGGAACACCUGUGGCGAAAGCGGCUCACUGGACCACAACUGACGCUGAGGCGCGAAAGCUAGGGGAGCAAACAGG